This 72-nucleotide transfer RNA is filed under the name Candidatus Geothermarchaeota archaeon. Its description in RNAcentral is "tRNA-Ile". It matches the Rfam family "tRNA". From Rfam's summary of the family: Transfer RNA (tRNA) molecules are approximately 80 nucleotides in length. Lineage: Archaea; Thermoproteati; Candidatus Geothermarchaeota. The record is from RNAcentral.
GCCCCCGUAGCUCAGUGGUAGAGCGGCGACGUGAUGAGCCGCAGGUCCCGGGUUCAAGUCCCGGCGGGGGCU